This 906-nucleotide ribosomal RNA is filed under the name uncultured archaeon. RNAcentral describes it as "bacterial SSU rRNA". It matches the Rfam family "Archaeal small subunit ribosomal RNA", at positions 21 to 903 of the family's 1478-position model. The record is from RNAcentral.
CCCCACUGCUAUCGGGAUGGGACUAAGACAUGCUAGUCGUGCGUCUCCAAGCCAUGGCGGAGACGCGGCGCACAGCUCAGUAACACGUGGCUAACCUGCCCUUAGGACAGGGACAACCCCGGGAAACUGGGGCUAAUCCCUGAUAGGUGAGGGUUCCUGGAAUGGGCCCUCGCCGAAAGGGCGCCUAGACCAUGCUUCUAGGUGCUGCCCAAGGAUGGAGCCGCGGCCGAUCAGGUUGUUGGUGAGGCAACGGCUCACCAAGCCUUUAACCGGUACGGGCCGUGAGAGCGGGAGCCCGGAGAUGGGUACUGAGACAAGGACCCAGGCCCUACGGGGCGCAGCAGUCGCGAAAACUCCGCAAUACGCGAAAGCGUGACGGGGCUACCCCGAGUGCCGUCCGCUGAGGAUGGCUUUUCCCUAGUGUAUAAAGCUGGGGGAAUAAGGAGAGGGCAAGCCUGGUGUCAGCCGCCGCGGUAAUACCAGCUCUCCGAGUGGUGGGGAUGCUUAUUGGGCCUAAAGCAUUCGUAGCCGGUUGGGCAAGUCCUCCGUUAAAUCCAGCGAUUCAAUCGUUGGACUGCGGGGGAUACUGUCCGGCUUGGGGGCGGAAGAGGCCGACGGUAUUCUCGGGGUAGGGGUGAAAUCCUAUAAUCCCGGGAGGACCACCAGUGGCGAAGGCUGUCGGCUAGAACGCGCCCGGCGGUGAGGGAUGAAAGCUGGGGGAGCGAACCGGAUUAGAUACCCGGGUAGUCCCAGCUGUAAACGAUGCAGGCUAGGUGUUGGCGCGGCUACGUGCCGCUCCAGUGCCGCAAGGAAGCCGCUAAGCCUGCCGCCUGGGAAGUACGGCCGCAAGGCUGAAACUUAAAGGAAUUGGCGGGGGAGCACCACAAGGGGUGAAGCUUACGGUUU